Molecule: ribosomal RNA, 200 nt
Filed under: uncultured bacterium
Lineage: Bacteria
Description: partial 16S ribosomal RNA
Rfam family: Bacterial small subunit ribosomal RNA
Source: RNAcentral
GAUGAACGCUAGCGGCAGGCCUAAUACAUGCAAGUCGAGGGGCAGCACGGUAGCAAUACUGGUGGCGACCGGCAAACGGGUGCGGAACACGUACGCAACCUUCCUUUAAGUGGGGGAUAGCCCAUAGAAAUGUGGAUUAAUACCUCGUAAGAUUGUAGAGUGGCAUCACUCAGCAAUUAUAGAAUUUCGCUUAAAGAUGG